RNAcentral lists this non-coding RNA (226 nucleotides) under Pteridomonas danica. The record is from RNAcentral. Lineage: Eukaryota; Dictyochophyceae; Pedinellales.
AAAAAAGAAAGAAAGGGUAUAUAAACAAAAAAGCGGAAAUAGGAAAGACGUUUUUAAACAGGAUCACACACGCUGUUGUUUUUUCUUACUUCUUCUUUUUCUCCUCAUCCCAAUUUUCGAUAUCCAAAUAAAAAGUAGUAAAAGAGAAGUCUAUAUCAUAAUCAAAAUUUACGGAGGUCUAUAUACACUAUAUCUUUUUUUAUUCAACUUUUUAUUUUAACUAAAA